Molecule: ribosomal RNA, 390 nt
Filed under: Triticum aestivum (bread wheat)
Lineage: Eukaryota; Viridiplantae; Streptophyta; Magnoliopsida; Poales; Poaceae
Description: partial small subunit ribosomal RNA
Source: RNAcentral
AUGUCGGCGGCGGUGAGGCUGCAGGCUGCUGCGCGCGGCCUCCUAGCGCGUCGGCGUGUGCGGGAGAUGCGUGGUCUGCAGCUGCCGCUCCUCCAAGUUGCCCUUUGCUGUACAAAGGACCUCGAUCUCGUCCGCUGCGUCAGGGAUCUUGGGCAUGCAGUUUCACCCACGGGCGGCUGGCAUGCUGUUUUCCCCGCGGGCAGCGACCUCAAAGUCUGCGACAUCGGCGGUUGGGGGGCGCACCCCUCCUCGUCAUUCUCCAUCGCAAGCCCUCCACUCUUCCAUGUGCGGUGCAGACCAACAGCCAUACAUAUGCACUCAUUUUGUCCAGGUGGUGUCCAUGGAAUCCAGGUGGUUGUACACGUGCAUGUCCAAAAUAAAGCGUCCUAG